This 265-nucleotide ribosomal RNA is filed under the name uncultured bacterium. RNAcentral's name for it is "partial 16S ribosomal RNA". It matches the Rfam family "Bacterial small subunit ribosomal RNA", at positions 28 to 289 of the family's 1533-position model. The record is from RNAcentral.
GAUGAACGCUAGCGGCAGGCUUAACACAUGCAAGUCGAGGGGCAGCACGAUGUAGCAAUACAUUGGUGGCGACCGGCGCACGGGUGCGUAACACGUAUGGAAUCUGCCCUUUACUGGAGGAUAGCCCGGAGAAAUCCGGAUUAAUACUCCAUAACUGUCGAGGUGGCAUCACCUUGAUCUGAAAGCUCCGGCGGUAAAGGAUGACCAUGCGCACGAUUAGCUAGUUGGUGAGGUAAUGGCUCACCAAGGCUACGAUCGUUAGGGG